Long non-coding RNA from Equus caballus (horse), 1699 nucleotides. NCBI's taxonomy places the organism in Eukaryota, Metazoa, Chordata, Mammalia, Perissodactyla, Equidae. The record is from Ensembl.
CCUGGAUAAUUUCAACCAGAAAGUAAAGAAGAGAUUCAGUACCUCUCUGGUACUUGGGAAUCACAAAAUGGGAAAUGAGAAGCCACCAGUGGUCAUAUUUCUUGUUCCACGGAGAAGGCCUCCUGAUUACUCUACAAAUCCUUUUGGAUUCUUGUUCUUAGAACGAUUGCACAAUUAGCUGUCAGAGAGACAGGGAUAACCUCCCAGUAAGAGUCAGGCGUCUGAAUUCUGCAUGAACAAAGUCGAGGGGAAAAACCAACCCUGUACCAGAUUUACGAGAAGAGUUACCUUUAUAAAAUCUAUAUGAACUAGAAAGUGAUGCAGAUGAAGGGGAGGCUGCUUGAUAAAACUAAAGCCUGCAGUUCUCAAAGAGAUGCCUUUAGAAGUGCGGUUCAAUUUUAAGUUUCCCACAUCGUGCUAAUUAGAACAUACAUUCCAAUUAGAAUUAGAUUGCACUUCAGGAAGUGAAUUAUUAAGUGACCCAGCACAUUUUGAUGUUUUCAAAUGCCCAAACUCCCAGCUUUGGAGGACAAUGAGCCUUUAAUGAUAAUUUAUUCCCCUCUUGUCCCCAUUAUUGCUACAUAGCUGGGAGCCCUAGAUUCUUGCUGGGCUCUGGAGACCCAGUGCAGACGUUUCUAGAGGAGGAUACCAAUUAGCCAGCUUGGUUUCACAAAGAAGCAAAGAUUGCCCUGAGGUGCAAACUCUGCCUUAGAGGGAACACCCUUGAAUUUUAACCAUCUUUAUUGCUAAUGAUUCGAAGUCAGCACAGAAUUCGGCCUUUCCCUCACCAUUUCAUUAUCUCCACUCCUGGAUUUAAAAACACAUACUUUCUUCCUUAUGAAGGUGACGAUAAAGACAGGCAAUUCACUAUGUACAUAAAAGCAAGUGACCACUUUCUGCUAGUUUUGAUAGUACUUCUACUGCUUCCAAAAAUUGCUUUAGGUAACCUAAUGUGGAAUGCCCCUGGGGAUAAGCCUCUGAAGAUUUUGCACAAGGCCCUUCAUAGAGUUUUCAGGACAGCGUAAUUACUCGGGGCUCCCUGAAAGUGACGAGCAGCAGCCUCAAGUUUUCUGAAUAAUAUAUUCUUGCAUGUUUGACUCAUAUAUAGAUAAAAAGAACAAAAAGUCAAUCACCAUCUAAACCACAAUUUUAUUCUUUUUUUCAUUCAUUUAAUUACUUCAUUGAACACAUUUUUGAGAUUCUCUUAUGUACCAGGCACUGUACUAGGCACCUGGGCUCUUAUCAGCAGACAGCACAGUUCUACCUAUUUAGACGCUCCCAUUCGGGAGGGGCUGGUGGGUGGGGCAGGCAGAGAGGGGCGUGGAGAAUGGUGAAGCAGCAGAUCAUUAAUUCCGGAAAGUGCUAGCUCUGUGCACCUGAGGAGGCCAUGGAAGGUUUGUCUAUUGUCUUGAGCAUUUCGUUUUUCUCAGCAUCAGGGGUCUGUACAUUCUACCUUUCUUCUGAAUCUCACAACGCUUAAGCACUUUGUGGCGGUAUAGUGAAUUCGGUUACUUAAUAUUGACUGGUGGAAGAUGAGAAGAAACUUUUCCUUUGCUUGGAAGAAAGCAACCAUUUUUGAGUUUGCAAAAAUCAAUAUUUAGUCAUAAAAGCACUCCUACAGUAAUAUAUCCCAACUUGUGGAAGCUCAGACUCCAGAGCCAGAUUGUCUGGGUUUGAAACCCGAGCUCUACUGUUACUA